GCAGUGACCAGCCAAGGAUCAGAGAACUUGUCAACAACUGGGACAGGAUUCAAACUUGGGUCUCUCAACUCCCAAGAUGUCAUUUUAACAAUGAUUGGAAGUAUGAACUGCCAAGGGGAAAGACAAAGUGAUGAGAAUAAACUAUGAGACUACUACAAAUGAUGCAAGACAUAACGAUCUGGACUGGGGAAGCAGAGGAGGAGAAAACAAAGAGAAUGCCAAGGUUUGGGCCACAGGCAUCUGAAAGAAAUCAUCACAUGGAAGUACAGCACAUAAUUUAUUCCAGUUCCAG
Molecule: long non-coding RNA, 292 nt
Organism: Vombatus ursinus (common wombat)
Lineage: Eukaryota; Metazoa; Chordata; Mammalia; Diprotodontia; Vombatidae
Exons: 3
Source: RefSeq, a predicted model, not a curated record